UCUGCGCCGCAGCCCGGCGCUUACUUCAGCGGGGGUGAGGCAGGCGGAGCCCUGCCCCGCCCUUUGUUCGCGGCGCUCCCCCCGCACCCGCUCUGGGGAGGGGACUGCACCCGCCACGACCCCCCACGGCUGUGGGAUGGGCCUGCCCCGCCGCUAGGCGGAAAAAUCCUGGGAAGCCAGAUACACAAAGGACCUGCAGAACAGCUGAUUAAGCUGGUCUUAGUAUAUAGCUAAAUUUCUAGGGGAACUUGGCUCUAACUAAAGAGGACCUCACUACACCUGGGGCUACAAAGAGCUUUUAGCGGGCAUCUGAAGGAAGGAAGGACUGAGAGAGGCUGAACACUGAGGAGAAAGCUGUAUUGGAGUGGAACUAAUUCCUAUCGCAGUCCUGAGAGCAAGAAGCCAGGAAAACAGCCCUGUGCCUGCUGCUCCAAGUAGGGAGUAGAGAUGAGGCUGGUAAUCUGCCAGGAGCCGGAAUGCCAGAGACCUCUGGGAGAGGUGGCCCUGAAGCCUGGGACCAAGAACUGGGUUGAGACAUUCUGUUCAGUUCUUAACCUCUGUUAUGAAAAAUAAACCUCUUUGACUGACACUGGGCAUGGCGGCAUCCACUCUGGAACUGGGGAGAAGCAAUGGCCCUGUGACAUCAACACUAAUCAGUAAUUACUAGUUUGCUGAUCUGCACAAUUAUCACAUGUGAGUCCAGUGUCUACUCCUUUACCAUUAUCC
Pelodiscus sinensis (Chinese soft-shelled turtle) is the source of this 726-nucleotide non-coding RNA. Lineage: Eukaryota; Metazoa; Chordata; Testudines; Trionychidae. The record is from RefSeq and is a predicted model, not a curated record.